Molecule: non-coding RNA, 27 nt
Filed under: Homo sapiens (human)
Lineage: Eukaryota; Metazoa; Chordata; Mammalia; Primates; Hominidae
Source: RNAcentral
CUGCUUACUAUUGCCACAAGUAGCUGA